Cucurbita moschata (crookneck pumpkin) is the source of this 201-nucleotide long non-coding RNA. RefSeq lists it as uncharacterized. The transcript has 3 exons. Lineage: Eukaryota; Viridiplantae; Streptophyta; Magnoliopsida; Cucurbitales; Cucurbitaceae. The record is from RefSeq and is a predicted model, not a curated record.
AGGCAAGGUGCUCUCACGAAUCGCACCUUCCUAUUUCGUCAAAACGUCCAAGAACUUCAGCGUUAUUUGGUUAAGUUCUGGAGUGAAGGCGGCCAAGAUUGGUGUUCGAAUCGGACUUUCAAGAAAACGUGAUUUUCGGACUUGUCAAGGAAAUUCCAGAAUUGUUGGUAUCCAUUCCGUCAAGAAAACUCGAACUCGGGA